This 497-nucleotide ribosomal RNA is filed under the name uncultured bacterium. RNAcentral describes it as "partial 16S ribosomal RNA". It matches the Rfam family "Bacterial small subunit ribosomal RNA", at positions 28 to 507 of the family's 1533-position model. The record is from RNAcentral.
GAUGAACGCUGGCGGCGUGCCUAAUACAUGCAAGUCGAGCGAACAGACGAGGAGCUUGCUCCUCUGACGUUAGCGGCGGACGGGUGAGUAACACGUGGAUAACCUACCUAUAAGACUGGGAUAACUUCGGGAAACCGGAGCUAAUACCGGAUAAUAUAUUGAACCGCAUGGUUCAAUAGUGAAAGACGGUUUUGCUGUCACUUAUAGAUGGAUCCGCGCCGCAUUAGCUAGUUGGUAAGGUAACGGCUUACCAAGGCAACGAUGCGUAGCCGACCUGAGAGGGUGAUCGGCCACACUGGAACUGAGACACGGUCCAGACUCCUACGGGAGGCAGCAGUAGGGAAUCUUCCGCAAUGGGCGAAAGCCUGACGGAGCAACGCCGCGUGAGUGAUGAAGGUCUUCGGAUCGUAAAACUCUGUUAUUAGGGAAGAACAAAUGUGUAAGUAACUAUGCACGCCUUGACGGUACCUAACCAGAAAGCCACGGCUAACUACGUG